Molecule: long non-coding RNA, 532 nt
Organism: Toxorhynchites rutilus septentrionalis
Lineage: Eukaryota; Metazoa; Arthropoda; Insecta; Diptera; Culicidae
Exons: 3
Source: RefSeq, a predicted model, not a curated record
GAUGCAAGUGUCAGAACUUUUCGAGUUGUUUGGUUCACUUGUUGCAUAUCUUCAGAGAAUUAUUUUGUUUUGGUUUGCGUCCCUGAUAUUUUCCUUUAGGAAACAUUUCAGAAACGCUUGAAUAUAUGCAAUUUUCAACACAUGUUCGUUUGUUUUGAUCAGUAUUUGUUUUACGGUGCUGCCAGAAUAGUCUAUACAAGCACAUAUUUCAGUGGCUGAAAACGAGUGGACAGACAAAUCACCACCUGUUUGAACGACUCGUUGAACCAAUGGAAGCGAAUGUAAACAUUGCUCGAGGUAUUUGUGGAGGAAGUUCAAAUAAAAUCCAGGUUAAGGUAACGUUGGAGGAAUUUAGUGAGGAGCUUAAUGCGCUGAGACCAUCAAUGCGUCUUGGUUCAGAAUGCCAGAAAAUUUGGAUUGACAUGAGGUGAAAAGUAAAUAAACACUAGCACACAACAAGCGAGAAUUCAGGGCCAAAGGUGGUGGCCCAAUACAAUAAUGCUAUUGACGCCGCUACUACAAGAAAUCGACA